CACGCUUCUUCUGGAAAAUCAAAUAUUUUUUUUGUUGUUGCCUUGCAUCUACAUGUUUAUUAUCUUGAAGAAGCUUGGGCCAAUUCUUAUUUUGCAAUAGUACGUUCUUCAUAAUGUAUACAUUAUUUAUGUAAUUCAGAUUUUCCAUUUAGUUAGUGCGUCAACAUGAAAACCGAUUGAUUGUUUGUUGUUGAUUUUCAUACUAGAAUGCUAGGGAAGAAUUCAGGUGUUUGUCAUAGUUGUAGAGGUAAGGGACACUUAUUUGCCGAAUGCCCGACCAAAGUGCGAUGUCCAUUGUGUAAGCAUGGAUAUCAGAAAAUGGGCAAAUCACCGACGCAGAGAUUGAGCUUACCUCACUCACCAAUAAGUCAUGGCUUCGAGGCUUUUUGACAGUUCAAAUUGCUACCGGGAGUUUACAUCAUGUGGGAGAGAGUUGGAGGUGGAAAAUAUGUUCCGGCAAAGGUUCCAAUUUCUAGAUUUCUCUCUUCGACGGAAUCAGUGCAAUGAUGGCUGUGAUAAUUCAAGAAACCAUCGAUUGAUGGCUGGUCAGACGGCAGUGCAGCAGGCAAUAGUCGUCGGAAGAGUGAGCUUGCGUUUUGCUAUUUUGGGCGAAAGGGAAUAGUGAGCUUGCUUUUUUGUUAUUUUUUGGGGGGAAUUAAAUGCAUUUACUCGGAGUCAGACUCGUUUCCCUCCACAAUCGUUUUUCUUAUUUUUUUUAUUAGCAACACGUCACAUUUUUAAAUUACCUUGUAAAACCCCUGGCAUAUCAUUUUGUACGCCAAGCUUAAUUCUUAUAUGAUAGUCUUGUGUGUCAAUUGUCUGUGGAUGAACAUCGACCUUUUCACUUG
Molecule: long non-coding RNA, 848 nt
Filed under: Olea europaea subsp. europaea
Lineage: Eukaryota; Viridiplantae; Streptophyta; Magnoliopsida; Lamiales; Oleaceae
Source: RNAcentral